CUGGCAGCGGCCAGCUCUCCAGCCCUGGAGUCAGCUCCCGCAGUAACUACCGCAGCUCCCAGUCCACACCGGCCUGGAUGCUCCCUGGGCGGGGGCGCUGACCUGCACAUCUCGGGGG
RNAcentral lists this microRNA precursor (118 nucleotides) under Canis lupus familiaris (dog). RNAcentral's name for it is "miRNA (ENSCAFG00000058909.1)". The record is from RNAcentral. Lineage: Eukaryota; Metazoa; Chordata; Mammalia; Carnivora; Canidae.